UUCAAGAUUAUCUAGUCUUUAUGUGGUAUGUCUUACACAUGAGAAAUUCAAAUUCUAAAUGGUCCAUUAAUUAUCUCUUGUUGUUUUUCAUUUGCCACUUGUUAAUAAUGUUGGGUUAUCACAUCAUGGUGGAGUAAUAUGCUAUGUGUGUAUUACAAGGCUAGAAAAUGUGUACAUUUGAGAUGUUGCCACAUAGUGUUGAUAUUAUAAAUUAUCUUAUUCCUAGUUGGCAUGUUAGCUAUACAAGUGUAAUUUGCUUGUGUUUUAGGAGUAAAGAUGAUGUUGGAUAUAUUUGCAAUCUACCAAUGAGAAUUAUUUCCAAACACUUCUUGUUCUUUGACAAUUGGUAUUCUCUUCAUGUGUUAGAAAUUGCUAAUCAUCUUUAUAUUGGAUUAUGUG
Molecule: long non-coding RNA, 399 nt
Filed under: Hordeum vulgare
Lineage: Eukaryota; Viridiplantae; Streptophyta; Magnoliopsida; Poales; Poaceae
Description: long non-coding RNA (HVUL_LNC006959)
Source: RNAcentral